UACAGAGGUCUCAAGCGUUGUUCGGAUUCAUUGGGCGUAAAGGGUGCGUAGGUGGCGCUGUAAGUCGGGUGUGAAAUUUCGGAGCUUAACUCCGAAACUGCAUUCGAUACUGCGGUGCUUGAGGACUGGAGAGGAGACUGGAAUUCAUGGUGUAGCAGUGAAAUGCGUAGAGAUCAUGAGGAAGACCAGUGGCGAAGGCGGGUCUCUGGACAGUUCCUGACACUGAGGCACGAAGGCCAGGGGAGCAAACCGG
This 253-nucleotide ribosomal RNA is filed under the name uncultured bacterium. RNAcentral's name for it is "partial 16S ribosomal RNA". It matches the Rfam family "Bacterial small subunit ribosomal RNA", at positions 524 to 776 of the family's 1533-position model. The record is from RNAcentral.